RNAcentral lists this ribosomal RNA (460 nucleotides) under uncultured bacterium. RNAcentral describes it as "partial 16S ribosomal RNA". It matches the Rfam family "Bacterial small subunit ribosomal RNA", at positions 338 to 795 of the family's 1533-position model. The record is from RNAcentral.
CCUACGGGAGACUGCAGUGAGGAAUAUUGGUCAAUGGCCGUAAGGCUGAACCAGCCAAGUCGCGUGAAGGAAGAAGGAUCUAUGGUUUGUAAACUUCUUUUAUAGGGGAAUAAAGGUAUCCACGUGUGGAUCUUUGCAUGUACCCUAUGAAUAAGCAUCGGCUAACUCCGUGCCAGCAGCCGCGGUAAUACGGAGGAUGCGAGCGUUAUCCGGAUUUAUUGGGUUUAAAGGGUGCGUAGGUUGUUUUUUAAGUCAGCGGUGAAAGUUUGUGGCUCAACCAUAAAAUUGCCGUUGAAACUGGAAGACUUGAGUGUAUUGGAGGUAGGCGGAAUGCGUGGUGUAGCGGUGAAAUGCAUAGAUAUCACGCAGAACUCCGAUUGCGAAGGCAGCUUACUAAGCCAUAACUGACACUGAAGCACGAAAGCGUGGGGAUCAAACAGGAUUAGAUACCCUUGUAGUC